GGUCCAACUCCAACUAACAUAAUUUUUCCACAAGCCAUUGACUUGGAAGGUUGCAGGAAACAACCACCGACGCGGAGAAGUUUGAAAUUUGUUCACGUUUCCACGUUUCUAUCAUCCAGAAAAACACACACACACAGAGAUCUUCAACAAAGCGUUCAUGAAGUAGAAUUUGUGAAAUUAUCAAACCACGACAAGUUGAUGCAGAAAGCAAUUGAAGCAGAGGAUGAUGUUUAUUAUCUUCCAAGAUUUGGUUCGUGGAAUUCUGCGUCGCCGCCGUCAACAUCACUUAGAUCAUUGGGAUUGGGGUUGUCGUCGCAGGAGGAAGAACAAAUAAAUGUGAGAGUCAAGCUAGCACCUCAGAGCAAUGUUGAAGGAGAACAGGUCGGGAAGAUCCAUAAAGAGGAAGCAGUGUGCAGAUUCUGUUUUAAUAACAUAUUUCAAUAUGAAAAUAUUUUUAUGACAAAAUGCAACUGCAAAAUCAUCGCCUUGACCCAUGAAAACUGCACAAUGGAGCGCCAGCGGUCCAGAGAAGAAGGGAACUUCAAAUGCAAAUACUGUGAACAAGAUAUCCAAAAUGUACCCGUGACAUUAUCAAGGGCAGAUAAAGGAAAGCCAGAGAAACCGAGCUCGACUUCAAAAAGGCGUACGUGGAAUUGCUUUGGGUUUUGCUGUAAGGCAUAAACAACAGCUAUGGUGGAAUUUUUCAUGUAGUAGCUCUUAGAGGUGAUUUGGUGGUUCCUUCAAAGUCUAUUUACUUGGCGCUUUGUUUCUGGCUUGUAAUCUAAAUGAUUUCUUUCUCUCGUUUCUUUUUGGUCUAAUUCUAUACUAAAUGUGCAAUAAGCUUGUGUGUCAUGUGCUCGUUGAGUUGCUGUAGUUGGUGAUAUUGCAAGCAAAUUACAUUUUGCA
Long non-coding RNA from Sesamum indicum (sesame), 906 nucleotides. RefSeq lists it as uncharacterized. Lineage: Eukaryota; Viridiplantae; Streptophyta; Magnoliopsida; Lamiales; Pedaliaceae. The record is from RefSeq and is a predicted model, not a curated record.